GCCGGCAGGAGGGCGGAGGAGAAUGGUUGUGCGUUUACCUGCGUGCCUGUGUUUCCAUGUCCGUGUGCGUUAAUGCACAUGCAAGUAUCUACACAGUAACCGGAAAUUUUGUUCUUGUAACAGAAGUCAGCACAUUUGGAGCCAGGAAGUGACUUCGGAAAUCAGUGUCUCAUCCUCUUAGAAACGCUUGCCUUUCAAAAAUGACUUGAUGGACGAGAAGGAGAAGGUCAGAUGAUGCAAGGCCAGGAGAAUAAGGAGGACGAGGAAGGAUAUCGUAGCCACAGGACCGCGCUUCCAUCUGGGCAAUGUGAGAGUUGUGAACAAGGGCGUUGUCUUGUAGGAGGCGGACACCUUUGGUCAAUAUUCCGUGCCUCUUGGUUUGGGUAGCUUCCCGCAACUUCAGUAGCAGUGAAGCGCAGUAAAUUCUUAGUUGGAUGGCAAAGCUCCUCAGCAGGUCUGAUGUGAUGGUGCCAGAGCGCGAGACACGGGCUUAACACAGAAACAAGCAGUUCAGCGGGGAUGCUACAAAUACUGGCUGCCUUGAUACCUUUUAACUCUUAAACCUCAAUCUGGAGAGUUUCCUCACUGAUGGAGGAAACAGCACUGGAACCACAAUACUGCCCACUUCCAUGAUGGCACACCUUAAAAAAAUAAUAAUAAAUAAAAUACUCUGCCCAUCACUAGGAAUGUAGCAGGAUCUAAGAUGAUCUGCCUACCUGCUAAGGAAGCUGAAUAUGUGGGAAGGAAUUAGCAUUCAAUUUUGUCAGGUCUUGGCAGGCAGGCAAAGGUCAUUAGCGAAGAUACAGCCUUUGGCCUCAGCAGUUAACAAGCGACAUGUUUUUAUAGGCUCUAAUGACUUCUAUGAUAUAAGAUUCUACCUUGUUCUUGGGGCGGUCACCCAAUGCAUCGACCAUUUCAUAUUUGAAGGUGCCCCACAGUGCUACAGGAUCCAUCAUACUGUUAAGCAUUCUAAAUCGAUGCCAAACCCACAAUCACCACCCCUUACUCAGUCAGACCAAAUAAAAAGAUAGUUAACCUUUUUUGAUCAGUGCCACCGAGCUCAGCAUUGGGGAACAUCCUGCAAAUCCUUCUCCAAUAACUACUACUGCUCUCAGCUUCUGUGUGACUGACGCAAUUGAUUACAACUGGAUACCAAAGUGAAAUCACCUAGUAUAAUGCAUUUCUAGAUGUCACAGCAGCAAGUUUGGCAUAGAACAACUCUUCAAGCAUACAUACCAAUAAGAGACAUAAAGCCAUACGAGUACUUAAAGUCUUAAUGCCAUUAUGCACUUAUCGACUGGAGUCCCCUUACCGAUGAAGCACGAAGUGUGCUGGAGGAGACAUCCAAUUUCAGAAAAGAAAAAAAGGCAACUCAGCAAUGAUUGUGGGGUAUUGUGAUUCAUUCUCUUUUUUUUUAUCUAAUCAAGUGCCACUUAUUACUUGUGCUUACAUAUGUAGGGAAUUUUUAAAACUCAUGUACAAUACUUCAACUAUUUUGCUCACACUUUAUCCUUUUCUUCUCUAAUGCGACUUGGCAAAUUGGAGUACUCCAGAGUCCAUGGUGAGGCAAGCCACCUGUUUUCCUUUCCUGGCUACUUCCUUUUGCAGAUGAUUCAGUUUCCAUCCUAGAAGUGGCAAUUGACCAUCCUGAUGCAAAGAUUCCGUUAACUCAGAGGAGUUUAAACCCUGAUCAUAAACACAGUACAAGUGCUACCUAUGCCAACCUCCCCAGCAUCACCCCCCCAGUAAGCCACAAGACCCAAUAACUACAUGUAAGUUUCCCAAGGGUUUUGAUCUACAUGCCUCACACGUGUCGGUGUCCACUAGGCUGCAGGUAUAGUGGAAUUCCUAUGUUUCCCAUCCACACCCUCCCCAAGAGAUCCACAGCCUGCUUAACUUGCUAGAUGGGAAGUGAAUUACCCUCCCUCUACUCUAUAGUUUAGCUUAGGGCAUACGACGAGUGUGGCAAUAAGGAGACAUCAGCUGAAGUCCUCAUGGUGGAGAGAAUGAAUAACGUAUAAUGGAACCAUCACUUCACAUCACCUUGG
Penaeus indicus is the source of this 2048-nucleotide long non-coding RNA. RefSeq lists it as uncharacterized. The transcript is spliced from 3 exons. The record is from RefSeq and is a predicted model, not a curated record. Lineage: Eukaryota; Metazoa; Arthropoda; Malacostraca; Decapoda; Penaeidae.